This 497-nucleotide ribosomal RNA is filed under the name uncultured bacterium. RNAcentral describes it as "partial 16S ribosomal RNA". It matches the Rfam family "Bacterial small subunit ribosomal RNA", at positions 28 to 507 of the family's 1533-position model. The record is from RNAcentral.
GAUGAACGCUGGCGGCGUGCCUAAUACAUGCAAGUCGAGCGAACGGACGAGAAGCUUGCUUCUCUGAUGUUAGCGGCGGACGGGUGAGUAACACGUGGAUAACCUACCUAUAAGACUGGGAUAACUUCGGGAAACCGGAGCUAAUACCGGAUAAUAUUUUGAACCGCAUGGUUCAAAAGUGAAAGACGGUCUUGCUGUCACUUAUAGAUGGAUCCGCGCUGCAUUAGCUAGUUGGUAAGGUAACGGCUUACCAAGGCAACGAUGCAUAGCCGACCUGAGAGGGUGAUCGGCCACAGUGGAACGGAGACACGGUCCAGACUCCUUCGGGAGGCAGCGGUAGGGAAUCUUCCGCAAUGGGCGAAAGCCUGACGGAGCAACGCCGCCUGAGUGAUGAAGGUCUUCGGAUCGUAAAGCUCUGUUAUUAGGGAAGGACAUAUGUGUAAGUAACUGUGAACAUCUUGACGGUACCUAAUCAGAAAGCCCCGGCUAACUACGUG